UUUUUACCAAAAAAGGGGGAGGGUUAAAUCCGAAGAUUUCUGUGUCAUGUGAUGUGACAAGAUCAAACAAGUAUCGCCAAAAGUUAGGCCUAUGUAUGGCUAUCAAGCCUGUAAGACAAAUUUUGGAUAAAAACAGAAAAGACACACCAAGGCGAUGAAAUCCUGUACCUACCCGUAUUUUGAAUGCAAAUAAGAAACAGACUAUAGCAUGAAAACGGAAUUAUUCACACAAAUCACAACACUAGUAAAGCGUUUUUGAUGUCUAAAUCUUUCUGUAAAUACAAUUUUUGACAUAUUUUGAGACCAUUAUAGGAUAUAACGUACUAAAUGGUGGCCCCGUUGCCGGCAAUGCUAUUUUUAGCAAUUAUCUCCUUAAAAGGCGUUUUCAUUAAACUAAUUACGGAAAAUCUGUUGUUUUCUAAUUGAAGCUCGAUAUCUAUUUGUGAUUUUACCGCACUCAAAUAUAUAUGGUCCCAUGGCUUUUCUUGGUGAAUUUUGGGGUUUUUCACGAUACCUGACGAUUUCGCAGAAAAAUUUUCCCUAAUUUUGAGCAACAUAAAAAAAAUUAUUUUCGGCAUUUCAUACUAUACAUUUAAGGACAAAUUUGUACUUGCAUGAAACUUCAUUCAUAAUGCUUUCCAGAAGAAAAAUAUAUAAAAGAUAUAACAACCAAUCACAGAGAGCCAUCUAUUUUUAUCUCUAUGUCAUGUUCCCUUCAUAAAAUGGCUGCGCCCAUGUAAUUUUAUUUGGUACAUUGUAACCUAUACGGUAAUAAACAAUUUUUGAAAUUUGAUUUUUUUUUGCCGCAUUAGUUACUUGAACAUUGCUUGACUUCAUUCUACUAUGCAAAAUAUUUCAUUGUAAACUGUAUAAUACACAGGAAUUAAUUUCUGGAGCCUACCCCUGUUUAAAAAUUGGUAAAAAAUUACACUGAUUUUUAUAGACAUUACGGUACUGUUUGUUGCAGGUGUAAUAUUUUGUCUCUUUGUUAGUAUUGCCUUUUCGAAGUAAUCAUGUGCUUCUGAUAUUGAUCAACAGAAAAUUUAAUUUGAGUGACACUGUACUGAAAAACAAAUUAAAAAUUCGGACCAGUUCAAUAUGAAAUAAAUUCACUAUUUUGAAACGGACUAUAGCUUUAUAAAUCGGAUACAUGUGCACAUUUUAGCUUCUUUUCGUAAAAAACAGCUUCUGGUGGUCUAUAUUAGCUAUACAAGUAGUCUGGUAAAUGUUUUGAAUGAUGCGAAAUCGUUUAGCGUAUGCAAAUACCCUUGGAGCCGUUUUUACCAAAAAAGGGGGAGGGUUAAAUCCGAAGAUUUCUGUGUCAUGUGAUGUGACAAGAUCAAACAAGUAUCGCCAAAAGUUAGGCCUAUGUAUGGCUAUCAAGCCUGUAAGACAAAUUUUGGAUAAAAACAGAAAAGACACACCAAGGCGAUGAAAUCCUGUACCUACCCGUAUUUUGAAUGCAAAU
RNAcentral lists this long non-coding RNA (1468 nucleotides) under Mytilus galloprovincialis (Mediterranean mussel). The record is from RNAcentral. Lineage: Eukaryota; Metazoa; Mollusca; Bivalvia; Mytilida; Mytilidae.